UGCAGCAGCCUUAGCAAGGAAAGGGGGUGAUGGUUACCGAAUGUUCGGUGGCCACAAAAAGUAGAGGCGAUAGCGUCCCCAAACACACACACCGUAACGCAGCAGAGGGUGUUCCAACCACUCCAAUCCAAUCUCGAGAUAUAAAUCCUGUUUGUAAACGGUGCACCAGCUGCCCAGGUGAUAAUCAAAUUUGACGAACCGCUGCAUCGUUUACAACUUAACUUUUACACCAAGUCGUAGACCUUUUAACGAUUUCACAGUUUUAUUAAUUGAGUUCCUUUCGUUAUCAAUAUUAUAAUAUUGGAGUUUGCCAGUUUUGAUUGGUUUUAAAGUAACUUUUCAAGUCUGGUGAAGGUUAAAUUUAAAUUAAAGAUAACAAUGAAUAACAACAAAUGACUUUUGCAGUUGCAGAGAUAUGUGGAAUCGAAAGCAAAUUCGUAGCACUGUUGGUGAAGUCAACUGCAUCAUAGGAAAGUGAUUGAAACUGGAAAGUAGGAUGAUGGACAAUUCUUUUUGUUUGUUUCUUAACCGAAAAGCUUUUAACUUCCUUCUUGUAUUCGUUAUUGUUGGAUGUUUGUAUUAUUUUUUGUUAUUUCGUUUUUUGGAAGAACCAAAUGAAUUAACAUAGAGCGUGGAUAUAUGUAUUUAGCGAUGUAAAUGUUGGAAGCGAAGAGAACCAAUCAAGAAACUUUUACCAACAAGAAACAAACUAAAAUUGGUUUUAAUUUGCUAUAAAUCGAAAUGAGGCUUGUGUGCGGUGUGUGUGUCCCCAUUCUAUCUCUGUUGCACCAUCAUACUCACUCGCUCCUUUUCAGAAACCCAUCCAUAAACCCAUUUUCAAUCUCAGAAAGCUGUCUUAUUUUAAAUUGAGAUUUACAAUUAAUUAUUAGAGACUUCUGUACUCCUUAGAAAAAAAAGAAG
Non-coding RNA from Drosophila suzukii, 921 nucleotides. The record is from RefSeq and is a predicted model, not a curated record. Lineage: Eukaryota; Metazoa; Arthropoda; Insecta; Diptera; Drosophilidae.